GUGUGUGCACAUAGAAACAUUUUGUUGAGCAAUUAGAUUCCAGAAGAAGGGUUGUUGUUACGGGUCGAGAGUCGAGUUCAUCCAUAAUGCUCUUUACAUAUAUGUAUUGUACGUAGUAGUGAGCUGUUUUAAGAGCUUAAUUUGUGGAAAUCUGAAAGCUAGCUUGUUUUGUUUUACAGUCUUUAUAUAUAGUUUUAGUAUUGACUUAGCUAGUACAUACAUUUUUUAUUGAUAAUUUUUGGUUCUUCGAGUUCUGUGAUCCUACUUAUAAUUGAUUUUUGAUUACAAGAUGCAUUUAAUUUGUACAUGAACUGUGUUUAGAUUUCAUGCAGUGUGCAUUAUUACUUUAGUAAUUUGGUUUCUGAUAUGUUCAACUGAAAGAAAUUUUUCAAAUUAUUUCGAGUGUAAGACCUUGAGGGUUUUCACUGAAAUUAAUUAUGGUUUUUCCAUAUAGUAGAUAUGAGUAACCAAUUUGAUGGGGUUCAGUCACCAAUUGCCAGUUGAGAUCAAGUGAACAAGUCUCUCUUUUUUUUCUUUUUUUUUUUCUCUGAAAGGGGAUCUAGAUCAAUAAUUUUAAACCUCACAGGAGCAAUUUAACUCCAGUGUGUAUCUACACAUACAUAUGUGAAUGAUCAAGAUUAGAGGACAUAAUAUAGAAACACGGUGGCCAAACAUAUUAAUUGUUAAUAAACAACUUAAAUUGCUCUGUGCAUUUACACGUCGUGUAUAAUAGAAUUUCUCCUUAUAUAUAUAACCUAAAACCCUCCUGUGUAUCUAUGUUUUUAUUCUCAUUUUGUUGAGAUCCCUAAUUGAACCAAGACUCUCAAUGUAUACUCCAACUGUACCAACUCUGCCAAUUCCACGAACCAAUAACUUUCGGAUUUGAGGAUCUUCUUCAUCAAAAUUGUACAUAACUAAUCGUUCUCCAAAAACCAUCAAAUCAUGAGAAUGGAGACCCUCAUUUUAGUCCACGAUCAGUGGCGUAGCCAGAAACCACAAGUAGAAGGGUCAAGAGUUU
This 1018-nucleotide long non-coding RNA is filed under the name Fragaria vesca (wild strawberry). Its description in RNAcentral is "long non-coding RNA (FVES_LNC004327)". Lineage: Eukaryota; Viridiplantae; Streptophyta; Magnoliopsida; Rosales; Rosaceae. The record is from RNAcentral.